RNAcentral lists this long non-coding RNA (394 nucleotides) under Heterocephalus glaber (naked mole-rat). RNAcentral describes it as "lncRNA (ENSHGLG00000047980.1)". The record is from RNAcentral. Lineage: Eukaryota; Metazoa; Chordata; Mammalia; Rodentia; Bathyergidae.
GACUGAAUUAAUAGUAUUUCUACAGCAAUGGUGACAGUGUACUGAAAGACAAGCAACACCAGGCAUGAUUCUCAACUCAAGAGUUCUCGGACUGGCAACCUUGGGACUUCAUCCACAGACCUGCCUGUCUGCAGCAGGCUUAUUCGGUGUUUUCUGUGUGACUGGUGACCUCGGGACUGCGUCCGCAGACCUGCCUGGCUGCAGCGGGCUCCACAAGGUAUGGUGGCACACACCCAUCAUUUCAGCGCAAGGGAAGGCUGAAGAAGGAGGAUCAUUACAAGUUCAAGGCCAACCAGGGCUACUUCAUGAGUACAAAGCCACCCUGAACUACAUAGUGACACCCUGUUUCAAAAAAAAAAUAAAGAGAGAGAGUUUUAGCUAUUUUAUCAUCCAG